GGUUAAGCGACUAAGCGUACACGGUGGAUGCCCUGGCAGUCAGAGGCGAUGAAGGACGUGCUAAUCUGCGAUAAGCGUCGGUAAGGUGAUAUGAACCGUUAUAACCGGCGAUUUCCGAAUGGGGAAACCCAGUGUGUUUCGACACACUAUCAUUAACUGAAUCCAUAGGUUAAUGAGGCGAACCGGGGGAACUGAAACAUCUAAGUACCCCGAGGAAAAGAAAUCAACCGAGAUUCCCCCAGUAGCGGCGAGCGAACGGGGAGCAGCCCAGAGCCUGAAUCAGUGUGUGUGUUAGUGGAAGCGUCUGGAAAGGCGCGCGAUACAGGGUGACAGCCCCGUACACAAAAAUACACAUACUGUGAGCUCGAUGAGUAGGGCGGGACACGUGGUAUCCUGUCUGAAUAUGGGGGGACCAUCCUCCAAGGCUAAAUACUCCUGACUGACCGAUAGUGAACCAGUACCGUGAGGGAAAGGCGAAAAGAACCCCGGCGAGGGGAGUGAAAAAGAACCUGAAACCGUGUACGUACAAGCAGUGGGAGCACGCUUAGGCGUGUGACUGCGUACCUUUUGUAUAAUGGGUCAGCGACUUAUAUUCUGUAGCAAGGUUAACCGAAUAGGGGAGCCGAAGGGAAACCGAGUCUUAACUGGGCGUUAAGUUGCAGGGUAUAGACCCGAAACCCGGUGAUCUAGCCAUGGGCAGGUUGAAGGUUGGGUAACACUAACUGGAGGACCGAACCGACUAAUGUUGAAAAAUUAGCGGAUGACUUGUGGCUGGGGGUGAAAGGCCAAUCAAACCGGGAGAUAGCUGGUUCUCCCCGAAAGCUAUUUAGGUAGCGCCUCGUGAAUUCAUCUCCGGGGGUAGAGCACUGUUUCGGCAAGGGGGUCAUCCCGACUUACCAACCCGAUGCAAACUGCGAAUACCGGAGAAUGUUAUCACGGGAGACACACGGCGGGUGCUAACGUCCGUCGUGAAGAGGGAAACAACCCAGACCGCCAGCUAAGGUCCCAAAGUCAUGGUUAAGUGGGAAACGAUGUGGGAAGGCCCAGACAGCCAGGAUGUUGGCUUAGAAGCAGCCAUCAUUUAAAGAAAGCGUAAUAGCUCACUGGUCGAGUCGGCCUGCGCGGAAGAUGUAACGGGGCUAAACCAUGCACCGAAGCUGCGGCAGCGACGCUUAUGCGUUGUUGGGUAGGGGAGCGUUCUGUAAGCCUGCGAAGGUGUGCUGUGAGGCAUGCUGGAGGUAUCAGAAGUGCGAAUGCUGACAUAAGUAACGAUAAAGCGGGUGAAAAGCCCGCUCGCCGGAAGACCAAGGGUUCCUGUCCAACGUUAAUCGGGGCAGGGUGAGUCGACCCCUAAGGCGAGGCCGAAAGGCGUAGUCGAUGGGAAACAGGUUAAUAUUCCUGUACUUGGUGUUACUGCGAAGGGGGGACGGAGAAGGCUAUGUUGGCCGGGCGACGGUUGUCCCGGUUUAAGCGUGUAGGCUGGUUUUCCAGGCAAAUCCGGAAAAUCAAGGCUGAGGCGUGAUGACGAGGCACUACGGUGCUGAAGCAACAAAUGCCCUGCUUCCAGGAAAAGCCUCUAAGCAUCAGGUAACAUCAAAUCGUACCCCAAACCGACACAGGUGGUCAGGUAGAGAAUACCAAGGCGCUUGAGAGAACUCGGGUGAAGGAACUAGGCAAAAUGGUGCCGUAACUUCGGGAGAAGGCACGCUGAUAUGUAGGUGAGGUCCCUCGCGGAUGGAGCUGAAAUCAGUCGAAGAUACCAGCUGGCUGCAACUGUUUAUUAAAAACACAGCACUGUGCAAACACGAAAGUGGACGUAUACGGUGUGACGCCUGCCCGGUGCCGGAAGGUUAAUUGAUGGGGUUAGCGCAAGCGAAGCUCUUGAUCGAAGCCCCGGUAAACGGCGGCCGUAACUAUAACGGUCCUAAGGUAGCGAAAUUCCUUGUCGGGUAAGUUCCGACCUGCACGAAUGGCGUAAUGAUGGCCAGGCUGUCUCCACCCGAGACUCAGUGAAAUUGAACUCGCUGUGAAGAUGCAGUGUACCCGCGGCAAGACGGAAAGACCCCGUGAACCUUUACUAUAGCUUGACACUGAACAUUGAGCCUUGAUGUGUAGGAUAGGUGGGAGGCUUAGAAGUGUGGACGCCAGUCUGCAUGGAGCCGACCUUGAAAUACCACCCUUUAAUGUUUGAUGUUCUAACGUUGACCCGUAAUCCGGGUUGCGGACAGUGUCUGGUGGGUAGUUUGACUGGGGCGGUCUCCUCCUAAAGAGUAACGGAGGAGCACGAAGGUUGGCUAAUCCUGGUCGGACAUCAGGAGGUUAGUGCAAUGGCAUAAGCCAGCUUGACUGCGAGCGUGACGGCGCGAGCAGGUGCGAAAGCAGGUCAUAGUGAUCCGGUGGUUCUGAAUGGAAGGGCCAUCGCUCAACGGAUAAAAGGUACUCCGGGGAUAACAGGCUGAUACCGCCCAAGAGUUCAUAUCGACGGCGGUGUUUGGCACCUCGAUGUCGGCUCAUCACAUCCUGGGGCUGAAGUAGGUCCCAAGGGUAUGGCUGUUCGCCAUUUAAAGUGGUACGCGAGCUGGGUUUAGAACGUCGUGAGACAGUUCGGUCCCUAUCUGCCGUGGGCGCUGGAGAACUGAGGGGGGCUGCUCCUAGUACGAGAGGACCGGAGUGGACGCAUCACUGGUGUUCGGGUUGUCAUGCCAAUGGCACUGCCCGGUAGCUAAAUGCGGAAGAGAUAAGUGCUGAAAGCAUCUAAGCACGAAACUUGCCCCGAGAUGAGUUCUCCCUGACCCUUUAAGGGUCCUGAAGGAACGUUGAAGACGACGACGUUGAUAGGCCGGGUGUGUAAGCGCAGCGAUGCGUUGAGCUAACCGGUACUAAUGAACCGUGAGGCUUAACCUU
This 2904-nucleotide ribosomal RNA is filed under the name Escherichia coli. RNAcentral describes it as "23S ribosomal RNA". It matches the Rfam family "Bacterial large subunit ribosomal RNA". Lineage: Bacteria; Pseudomonadati; Pseudomonadota; Gammaproteobacteria; Enterobacterales; Enterobacteriaceae. The record is from RNAcentral.